Molecule: long non-coding RNA, 238 nt
Filed under: Musa acuminata (dwarf banana)
Lineage: Eukaryota; Viridiplantae; Streptophyta; Magnoliopsida; Zingiberales; Musaceae
Description: long non-coding RNA (MACU_LNC011207)
Source: RNAcentral
AAUAAUUGGCUACUUUAUUCAAGGAAAUAAUUGGCAAGGAUAAAAAUAAUUGGCUGCUUUAUUAAAGGAAUAUAUAUAUAUGACCCACCAAAUAGGUAGACUAAGCAUUAUCGAUCACUCAGUGCAGGUGUCUCGUCUUGAUCAGAUCUGACGGAUUGGCUUUAUGAUGUUCACCUUUUGGUGCAACCAUAGAAAAGCAUUUUAUUAUAAUAAUAAUAUCCUUAUUUCUUGACUUUUU